RNAcentral lists this ribosomal RNA (468 nucleotides) under uncultured Lysobacteraceae bacterium. Its description in RNAcentral is "bacterial SSU rRNA". It matches the Rfam family "Bacterial small subunit ribosomal RNA", at positions 336 to 796 of the family's 1533-position model. The record is from RNAcentral. Lineage: Bacteria; Pseudomonadati; Pseudomonadota; Gammaproteobacteria; Lysobacterales; Lysobacteraceae.
UUCCUACGGGUGGCAGCAGUGGGGAAUAUUGGACAAUGGGGGCAAGCCUGAUCCAGCCAUGCCGCGUGAGUGAAGAAGGCCCUCGGGUUGUAAAGCUCUUUUGUCCGGAAAGAAAAGCGCCGGGUUAAUACCCUGGUGUCCUGACGGUACCGGAAGAAUAAGCACCGGCUAACUUCGUGCCAGCAGCCGCGGUAAUACGAAGGGUGCAAGCGUUACUCGGAAUUACUGGGCGUAAAGCGUGCGUAGGUGGUUCGUUAAGUCCGAUGUGAAAGCCCUGGGCUCAACCUGGGAAUGGCAUUGGAUACUGGCGGGCUAGAGUGCGGUAGAGGGUAGUGGAAUUCCCGGUGUAGCAGUGAAAUGCGUAGAGAUCGGGAGGAACAUCCGUGGCGAAGGCGACUACCUGGACCAGCACUGACACUGAGGCACGAAAGCGUGGGGAGCAAACAGGAUUAGAUACCCCUGUAGUCA